Molecule: ribosomal RNA, 118 nt
Filed under: Erpetoichthys calabaricus (reedfish)
Lineage: Eukaryota; Metazoa; Chordata; Cladistia; Polypteriformes; Polypteridae
Source: RNAcentral
GCUUAUGGCCACACCAGUGUAAAUGCGGUGAUCUCAUCUGAUCUCGGAAGUUAAGCACACUUAGGCUCGAUCAGUUCUUGGAUGGGAGACCGCCUGGAAACCCCGAGUGCUAUAAGCU